Molecule: ribosomal RNA, 252 nt
Filed under: uncultured bacterium
Lineage: Bacteria
Description: partial 16S ribosomal RNA
Rfam family: Bacterial small subunit ribosomal RNA
Source: RNAcentral
UACAGAGGAGCCAAGCGUUGUCCGGAUUGACUGGGCGUAAAGCGCACGCAGGCGGUUGCGCGCGUGGGGUGUGAAAUCUGGCCGCUUAACGGCCAGGCGCCAUCCCAUACGGCGCGACUGGAGUGAUGCAGAGGUCGAUGGAAUUGCCGGUGUAGUGGUGAAAUGCGUAGAGAUCGGCAGGAACACCCAGGGGGAAACCAGUCGACUGGGCAUCUACUGACGCUGAGGUGCGAGAGCGUGGGGAGCGAACCG